UUACAUUAUAAAUACGAUGGUUAAUCAGUUUAAGUUAGUGUUGGAUGCUCAGUAUUCACGCUUAUUAGUGUCAUUUAGGCUCGUUACAUUGAAGGUAGCAGUUUUUAUACGUUUUAUUAGGAAAAGUGAUACUGACGGUGAACUCUAACGCCACUUGCAUACGUUUGACUGGCGCAACCUGCAAGCGUUAACAUGGCAGAUUGAAGGAUUUGUUGAGAAGUACAAGAAAAUGAAAGACAGGGCAGCUCUUUUGAAAGGCAGUUUACAUAAGAAAGUGAUGACCUUCGAAAGAUGGUGGUGUGUUUUAACAGAUGAACUUGAUCUCUGCAUUCAGAGAUCUGUGGAGAACAAGUCCUUUGAAGCUGAAAGCUCACCUUUGAACAUAUAGGCCGCCCGCUGUGGCCGAGCGGUUCUAAGCGCUUCAGUCCGGAACCACGCAGCUGCUAUGGUCGCAGGUUCGAAUCCUGCCUCAGGCGUGGAUGUGUGUGAUGUCCUUAGGUUAGUUAGGCUUAAGUAGUUCUAAUUGUAGGGGUCUGAUGACCUCAGAUGUCAAGUCCCAUAAUGCUUAGAGCCAUUUGAACCUUUUUGAACAUGCAGUUAGCAAUUCAUUGUGAAGUAAAUUUGCAGAUUUGUUCCACAAACUUGAACCAUUUAGUUACGUAAAACGCUUCAGUAAGGUCACAAAAUAUACCAGCAGGAUUAUUUUGGUUGUUUUUAGUUCUGCUAGGUUUUCAUUCAUAAGGAUAUAUGGUGGCUGCUACAUGUGAAACUCAAAAGUAUUUAGCAAAUUUUGUUUGAGUUAAGGACUGAUUAUGAAUACGGCUCAAGGUUAAUUGUAUCAUCCUUUCACAAGAUUUUACUAAUCUGCUAGAAACACUGUCAUGGAAAAAUAUUGCUGCUUUUAGCAACUUGAUGGUAAUUUUAAUUCCCUUUGGUCUUGCAUAUUUGAUAUUAACGAUGUUUGGUGAUGUAAAAAGUAUUGAAUUAUCAAUUUCACGGCUGAAAUGCCACAAUUAUUAAAAUAUUUCUGGCUAUUAUUCUGUGGUUUUUCCUGAUUUCUUUGAUGACUUGUGGCAUAUAAGUUCUUGUAUUCCAUUUGGAACUAAUUAAAGAAUGGAAACUCCAGGUAGGAAUAUCAACAAUUCAGGAAAAGGUAGAUUGCUACUCACUGUAAAGGAGACACGUUAAGUUGCAGACAGGCAUAAUUAAUAUGCAAGUUAAUGUGUCUUCUUUAUGGUAAGUAGCAAUUUGUUUUUUUCUGCAGCAUUAAUUGUUUGUAGAAUGCAAAGGUUACAAUAUUUACACUGUAACCAAAGGAGUAAGCGACCGUUUUCUUCAAAGUGAAAGUGCUUUGCAAACAAACAACUUCUGUUUCUUUGGGUUCUUCUUGGAAC
This is a long non-coding RNA of Schistocerca serialis cubense, 1394 nucleotides long. RefSeq lists it as uncharacterized. The record is from RefSeq and is a predicted model, not a curated record. The transcript is spliced from 4 exons. Lineage: Eukaryota; Metazoa; Arthropoda; Insecta; Orthoptera; Acrididae.